This 14183-nucleotide long non-coding RNA is filed under the name Equus caballus (horse). RNAcentral's name for it is "lncRNA (ENSECAG00000033666.3)". Lineage: Eukaryota; Metazoa; Chordata; Mammalia; Perissodactyla; Equidae. The record is from RNAcentral.
GUUAAAUUAUCUGAUAUUUUACACCAUUUUUUAAUGCUGUCUUCUCUGCUUCAUUUGUUUGCUUUCUUGUUUUUCACACUUUGCAUUCUUUGCAUUUCAGUUGGGGUAAUUUCUAUUGACCUAUCUUUGAAUUCACUUAUUUUUUCUUUGGCUAUUUCUAGUCUACUGUGAGCCCAUGAAGGACAUUCUUUACUUUUUCUUUCUAGCACAUUUGAUUAUUUCUUGAACUUUCCAUUUCUCUGCUGAAAUUAUCUGAUUUUGUAUGUUGUUUACCUUUUUCACUAGAACAUUUAACAUAGUAGUCAUGCACAUGUUAAAUUCCCUGUCAGAUAGUUGCAACACUUGUGUCAUAUCUGUCUAGUUUUCAUGGGUGCUUUCUCUUCAGACUGUGUGUUCUCCUAUCUAGUCUUAUGCCUGUUAUUUAUUGAAAGCUGGACAAAUUGUAUAGGUCAGUGGAUACAGAGGUAAAGAUUUUUUUAGGAUUGUAAGUGAGCACAUCUUUCCUCUGUUAAGAUUUUGGUGUGAAUGUUUGUAUAUUCUAGUUAGGAGUUGGGAUGCAAUUGAAGUCUUUUGUUUUUAUAGUUAUCCUCAGUGCACCAAAGAUAUAAAAUUCUUUAGUCAUAUCUUGUUUUUCAGUUGGUUCCUCUCAAUAUUUACUCCACUCUUUGACCUGGAUCCUCUCCCUGUGCUAUUCACCAGAAAAAACCCCAUUGCCUGCAGGUCUCUCAGAUAUGCUUUAGUGUUGUUCUUAAUCAAAGUGUGUUAGUAUGGUGGUAGGGGAGAUAAAAAGGACAUUCUCUGACAUUCUGAUUAAACCUCAGUCCUCAGCACUGGUAACCUGGGUUUUGAGAGUGUGACUGUUAUGUGUCUCUGCCUCCUAUCCAGCUCCAAUGAUAGGUGUAGUAAGCAUUCCUGCUCUUCUCCUAGGGUAAAAAUCUUUUUCUUAUUCCCAUCCUCCAGCCACAAUGAGCAUCCACUAGUGCCCCCAAAUAACCACUGUCAUUGUUUUUCCCCUGAAGAAUAAGGCUUCCUUUUUCCUUGGGGGAAAAAAGGGAGUUGAGUCUGGAUGGAAUUUUGACAGUAGCUGCUAUCUCCCUCUCCAGGAUGUAAUCACAAAGGAAGCUUUUCAAAAUUCUCCCUGAUCUUCCUUGUGUGUGCCUGAGGGGAUUUGUGGAGGACAAGGCUGCAAGAGAAUUCAAACUCCCUUGUAUCUGUGGCCCCCAGGGCUUCAUGCUCUCACGUGAGCCUACACUCAGCCUUCAGCAAUUUGUUAAAGUUUUUAGCUGAAUCUUCUCCAUAGCUUAUUUCCAUCCAGCGGCAACUGCCCCAGUUACACAAAUGCUUGUGUCCUGUUUCUUUCCGCAGCCUCCUUUGUCUCCCCAUAUUUCAGCUUAGUUGUUUGCCUUAUGUCCUCUAUUCUCCUAUCAGUUAAAGAGUGAUUUAUUUUCAGUUUUCCCAGCUUGUUUUCUUGUUAUAAGAGUAGAAGUGAUACUCUUUCCAGCUCUCUAUACCUCUGAACUCAACUGAUAUUUUUUGAAACUACUCAGGUAACAAUGAUGUGCAGCCUGGAUUGAGAGCCCAAUCGUUAGAACAUGCAUCUCAGUCAGAAAAGAGUAAAAAUCUGUAGUAUGACUUAGUCCUACAUAAUCUGGCUCCCAGCCAGUUUUCUCUCACUUUAUCUCCUUGCUCCUUAGUGCUCUAUUGCUUUGAGUUCUCUAGUCACACUGGACACUUCUUUCUUGGAACACACUAUUCAUGCUCCAGCCUCAGAGCCUUUACUCUGACUACUCACUAUACGUGCAGUGCUGGUCCUGAUUUCUUAUGACUUGCUCCCACACUUCCACAGGUGUCUUCCCACCACCUCACUCAAGAAGGUUUAAUCAACUUCUCUAAUUAGAAGACAAUGACCUACUGAAUCAUUCUUUACUCCCUUUUUAUUUUUUAUUCUUUUUUCAUUAAUUUGAUGAGAGAAAGAAUUCUAAAGUUUCUAGGUUGUAAGACUGGAAAGACGAAAAUACUAUUUUUAAAAAUGGGCUUUAAAAUAAGAAAGUAUAGAAGCAUAUGAGUGAUAAACUUUCCAAGUUCUUUUAUUUAAAUCUAUUUAUUAUUGCCACUAGACAUAUUUUAAUCUUCAUUUAUUUACAUAUCAAUUAUGUCCACUCAUUAGAAUGAAAACUCUAUGAGGUCAAUGAUUUCAGUUUAUUUGCUUAUUGAUUGCUAAUAUUCACGCCCAUCUUCCUCUACUUUUUAUAUGUGGGACAGCUGCCACAGCAUGGCUUGCUAAGCAGUGCAUGUCCACACCUGGGAUCUGAACCAACGAACCCUGGGCCGCCGAAGUGGAACGUGCGAACUUAACUGCUGCGCCACCCGGCUGGCCCCAGAUCCUUCAUUCUUAGAAUGGCAUCAAGUACAUAGUUGGAAGCCAAUAUUCCCUUAAAAUAUGAAUAGUACAUUUCAUUAUUUUUGGAUAUGCCUUCUGUGUGCCAGACACUGUGCCAGGUAAGCAAUAAUGAUUAAAAUUCAAGGUAUAAUCUGUAAUAUCAAGAGUUUAAUGUCUAAUUUAUAAGAUGAAUAAAGUGCAAUUGAAUGUACAAUCCUAGGCUGGGGGAAAUUUGGGUAGAAUUUGUGCAGGAUUCUCUGAAAGGAAUCCAGAGGUGAGCAUUAAGGCAUUAGCGGCCGUAUCACAGAUAUUCUUCCCGUAAUGUUUCUACACAUGCAAAUCAGGUUAAAAUGACUAUUUUAGCAAGAUUAUAAAUCUUGACCCAAAGGAUUUCACCAUGGGCUGGGUAUCACUUUCAAAGCACACUGAAAAUGGAAAUUUAAGUUUUCAUUCUAGUUCACAAAACAAACAGUGAAAUUGAUCUAAUGCAAAUUUGCUCUCACCAAAGCUAAGUAAAAUCUCUCAUAGCAUUCUUUAAAAAUCUAGAAGUGUCAUACUCCUCAAUUCUGAACUUUCUUCCUCACACCUUUGUCCCUUCUAUGCUGCUUCCUCAAUCAUCUCCCCACCUAUGCCUUGAAUGCAGGGAAUAACACCCUUCCUUACUGGUGCCCACAGUCUGGAAACCACCAUGCCACUGCUCCUGGGGAAGACAGUUCUUUGAAUCCCACUGCUGUGUCAAUUGAAUUCUAAGUUCCAAGAUUAUUUUUCUUUAUUUCUUCUUCUUUUAAAAAAAUUUUCCCUUUUCUAGUCUCUGUCUUUGUCGUCACUCUUUAAUGCCAUAGUUCCCUGCCCUAUAUCCUCAUUUUAUUUCAAAAUUAGUGCAGACAAUGGUUGGCUGAGAAUUCUCAGAGGAGGGAGAGCAAAAGUAAAAGUUAACACAUGUUUUUGAAUUAUUUGAUAAGACACGGCAAAAGAAUAUGAACUCAAUGUGACAAGCCAUUAGGGGAUUUUGCAGGUUUAUGAGAAAGAUUAGCACAGUGAAAGUAGUGUUUUAGGAGGAUUAGUCUGGCAUCAGAGAACUAUGUGUAUUAGAGGAGGUAAUGCUCUGUUCAUAGAUAACUGCUAGGCUGUUACCACAGAUCCCAUGGUAGGUAAUGAGGGUAGGGACAGAAUUUGAUGAGAGAAAGAACUUUAAGGUUUUUAUGCCGUGAGACUGGAAGGAUGAAAACAUUAUUUCAAAAAUGGGUUUUAGAAUAAGAAAGUAUAGAAAUACACGAGUGAUGCGUUUUCCAUUGUUCUUUUAUUUAUAUCUAUUUAUGCUUUCCUCUGUGAUAGCAGAGAGUCUCUGUAACAACUUAAUAAUUUCCUUACAUUAUCUUUAGUAAAGCAUAAUGAUAAUUAUCAUUUUGGUGGGAUAAUUGUAAAUAUUUACAGUAUGAUUUUUGGUCAUUUAAGUUAUCUGUAAACACAGAGGCUUAAAUGAUUCAUCAGUAGCCUUGAGAACAAAUACUACUUCUAUUUAAUAUACUAUUUUGCUAUACUGUUGAGAUCUACAAGACCUAAGAGAAAUUUGUUAGUAUAGAGAAUAAAAUCCAACUUGAGGAGAUUAAAUAUUAAGGGAAGUUUUAUAUGAUAUGAGGUAGCUUAUGGGUAGUAGUGAUAUAUUACAUAUAAUGAAAAGAGCUAAUGGUAGGUUAGAUGGCUGCUGGAUAUAAAUAUAAUUCCGUGAAUUACAUAUUGGUGAAAUUUGCCAGGAAAGAAGAUAUGUUUGUUCCCUGCUCACCCCACCCCAAAAUAUUUAUAUCUCAAAGUUAAUCUCCUUAUAUUAUCCAAUUAGAAUUUUUAGGUAUCACAUUUUAAAAGCCAAUUCCCAGAAUAAACUAUGAUUUAUUAUUCUUACUGUUAAGUUAGAAUUAUUUUCUAAAAACUCCAAUAUACUUUAGUGCUUGGAAUAAUGAAAUACUACAAUAAUUUAUAAGUGAUCUGUAUAUCUUAAGAUAGCAAAAAUUAAAAUUCAAAUAAAUACAUGGAAUAAACUAUAUGGCCAACAGACAAUUUCAUAUAUUUUUCACUUAUGUAUUCUUGCCCAUGCAUAAAUGCAUUUUUCUUUAUAACUUUCAAAUUAAGAUGAUAAAUUCAAUCAAUAGAUUAUAAAUAUUGUUUCAUAAUAGGUAUGAUGAAAGUCAUUGUAUUUUAAAAACUGGAGUUUCCACCUAAUAGGUAAUACUAUCUUUAAACCUAUUGGUAAUACUAUAUGGGUGUAUGUGUUUUUGAAUAUGUGAAUACCAAGAUAUAUUAAUAAAUAAAAAUGUAUCUAUUACCGAAAAGAGAAGAGAGCAGUUCAAAAAGAGAAAACUGGUUCUGGGUUAUAGUCUGGUGUUAACACUUUGUAGCAAAAUAUUUUUCUCUGUUUUGUUGCAGAAGUAAUUGAAUUUGUUUCUCUCUCUUGACCAAGUGUUCAGAAUUGCCCAUUUCCUACCCUCUGCUUUGCCUUGGCCAACUUUUAGUCAAGCUUCUUUCCUCCCCACAAGCCCCUGAACUUUAGCUUGCCUCCAGAUCUGAGCAUCACUGAAAUAUCCUCCUUUAACAGCUUAUCUCAAGAAUGAGUUAACCUCAGCAAGGACCAUUUCCUGUCAGACCCCAGAUCAUGCUGUCUGUUCAACCCCUCUGCUUCCCCAAUUUUCCCUUAAAAGUACCUGAUAGCUCUGCUUUUCUUUCCCUACAUAAAAAAAAAAAAAUUGUUUUGGUUUGAUUUUAAGGUGCUGCAGAUCCUGAGAUGGAAAUAUUCUCCAUGUUGCAAUAGUCUUUGAAAAAAUCUCUCCUUAUCUAAUUCCAGAUUUGUUUUUAUUUGACACACUCAGCAUGUACUCUUACUUUUCAAAAUCUUUUCACAUUUGUACUCUCUCUCAUUCUUACUUUGAACAGUUAAUGACUAGGAAUAAUUAUAAACUUUGUCCGUAGGCUACUGUCACUGCAACUUUUAAAAUAUGAUUACUUUGGCCAAUAAUGUAGUCAAGGUUACAGCUGUUUCUUAUUCUCACAUCUUUUUCUCUUAAUACAGUCAAGUAACUAGUAGAUUUUACACGUUACCAUCUCCAAGACCAGUCUUCAAAGUGAGAAGAGAACUGUUAAGAUUGGCAGGGUCAAUAGUGCACUCAGUCUUACUGUCACAUCAGAUGGUGGCUUGGUAGCAGAAGUUCUUAAUAAGAAUUUUCCUGUAACCCAGGAUAUGAUACACCACGACAAUGAAGCCAUCCUGAGGAAGUUUCUGCAUAAUUGUUUUACUACUAAUUUUUCCAAUAUUAUACUGAGAGCUCCCCUAGUUUUCCAGUCUCACAGUGAGGGAGCAGCCAUUCAUUCCUCUGAGAUGUAUUUGUUAAAUUUGCAUUAAUUUAAGUCAAAUGAAAAUUUCUGAUCAUUUGAACAUGGGUUAGUAAUUGUAUGUAUCUCAGACAGGAUAAAAAUAUACUUGAAUGUAUGAUACAAUGACUGUCAGCAAAAACUCCUAACUAAAAGAUUCUACCUAGUUUGUUAUAUCCACACUUUUUAACCCCAAGAGGAUCACACAUGUUCUAGAGCCAUAGCAAAGUCAAUUUGUAAAGCUUUACUAACAUAGUGCACCUUCCCUAACUACAUUAUUGAAAUCAGAGGUGAAAAGUCUGCAGAGAGGGGCUGGCCCUGUGGGGUAGUGAUUAUGUUUAGCACACUCCACUUCAGUGGCCAGGGUUUGUAGGUUUGGAUCCUGGGUGCAGACCUACACCACUCAUCAGCCGUGCUGAGGUGGCGACCCACAGACAAAAUAGAGGAAAAUUGGCACAGAUGUUAGAAGAAGGGGGUGAAAAAAAGAAGUUUGGCAACAGUUGUUAGCUCAGGUGCCAAUCUUUUAAAAAAAAAGUUUGACUCAAAUCUCCACUCUAAUGGCCUUAAAAAAGAAUAAGCACACUCUUUGGGGGGCGUAAGUAUUAUUUACCUCAUCCAACUUUUUUUCUUGCACACAAUGUCUAAUAUGCAAUCAAAAAGUAAAUAAUGUGAAAAAAAAGAAAAUGUGACCCACUGUUAAGAGAGUAGUCAAUACAACCAGGCUCAAAGAUGUCCCAGAUUUAGAAUUAUUAAACCGGAACUUUAAAAUAACUAGUAGAAAAUUGAACAUCAUAUGUGAACAGUUGAGAGAUUUAGGCAAAAUAGAAAUCAUAGGAAAAGGACUAAACGGAAACAUUAGAUGUGAAAUUAUGAUUAUCGGUGAUAAAAAUUCAUUCUAUGGGCAUAUAAAUAUGUUAGAUAUAAAAGAGAAAAUAAGUGAACUUUAGGACAUGUCAAUAGACAUUAUCCAAACUGAAACAUAACGUGGAAAAAGAGUGCUAAAAAUAAAGAAACAGUGUCCGAGAUCUACAAAAUAAUAUCAGUCUAACAUGGGUUAAUGAAGUGUCAAAACAAAUAUGGCAGAAGAAAUAUUUGAAGGGAUAAUAGGUUUAUGCAGGAUAUCAACCCCUGUAAUCUAAGCAGCUCACAGUUCUCCAAGCAGGGUAAAUGCAAAAAGAAUGCCUAGUACAGCAUAAUCAAACUGCUAAAAAAUAAGUAAAGUAAAAUCCUUGACAGCAGCCAGGAAGAGAAAGAAAAACACGUUAGCUUCAGUAAAAAAAAAAAAAAAAAAAAAAAAAUUGCCGUUAGAUAUAGUGAAACAAAUAAUCUUAAAAAUUAUGGCUGAGGCAAGAAGACGAUAGAAUUAGAGCUUUGAAGUACUGAAAGAAGUAAAGUGCCUAUCAAUCAAGAAUUCUAUGUUAGCAAAAACAGUCACCAAAAAUGAAGACAUUUGCAAUUGAAUAAAUGCAUCAAAUAUAGACAUUUGAAAACUGAAACCUACUUGCACUAUAAGAAACACUAAAAGUCUUUUUUAUGACGUUGGAGGAAAAAUAACAGCAGUUAGAGAUCAAAUGUUAUGGUAAUAAAUGAAGAACACAAGAAUGAGUAAAUUUACUGAUAAAUAUAAAGGACCUGGAAAAGUCCAUUUAAACACUACUGACUUUUAAAAAUAAACAUAACAAUGUCAUAUUGGGUUUACAGUGUAUGUAGAAAUGAACAUAUGACAGCAAUAGCACAAAGGGCAGGAGGGUAAUAAUUUAAGCACUAAUGUCAGCCAACUUGACCUAUUUGACAUUUAUAGAACACUGGACACAACAUCAGAAUAUAUGCUCUUUUCAAGUACACAUGGAACAUUCAGGGACUUUUUAGGUUUUAAUCUUCUAAUCAGAUGUUUUAAAUUUUUCUCUCUGAAAUAUUCUUAGUUUUAAAAAUUGUUGAGUGUGCAGUAUUCUCAGGUUAGCUAGCAACAUAGAAUAUUUUCUUUAGUAUUCCUCAAUAACCAUGUUUCCAGACGUAUUAAUGUAAUACUGACACAUUCUGGAUCAUUUACCAUUUUGAAACUCAUAUAAUAUUUAAGUUUAUUCUCCUAGAAGUUACAAAAGGGCCAAGGAACACCUCGACAACAUAAUCACAGAAACGUAUGCAUUGCCUUCAAUGAAUUGUGGAUUAGGAAUCCAUUCUAUCGGACAAAAGGAGCUGAAGACACACCCUGAGAAACUGACAUUUUUUCCAGAGCUCUCAUUCCUGGCCCCAUCCUCUAGGCAUUCCCAUCAAGAUCUUGGAAGGUAUAGGAGAUUAAUUCUAUCUCAAAGUGAUUACUUCUCUCCUCCUGUUUUUCUCUUUGGCUAAUGCCUCAUGGCUCUUUUUCAAGACUGCUGAAAUCAUAAACAUUAGACAGUUUGGACUUUCAUUUGAAGUGCCAUUAAAUCAUGAUUUUAGGAUCAAAAAUUUCUUUUCUAACUGUCCAUAACUUCGAAUGUUUACAAACAAAAUAUGUAAAUUAGUGUGCUAGAGAAUAACAUCAAGCAGAUCAAUUAUUUUAAAAUAAUCUACAACUUUUCUGUUCUAAAAAUGCAAGUACACAUUGUUUUUACUUAAAAUUGCUGGAAUAUAUGGAAGAUGCUUACCAGGGACAGAAAUUUUCAAAGAACAACAUAUUUCGUGCUUCGCGAUCUAUCUUUACAUUCUCUUGAUUAGGUGAAAAAUUGUUCAACCAAUGCUACAUCAUUGCUUAAUACCUUGGAAGUAUUCCUAUCAAUGAGAGUGAAGAAUGGAGACUAACAUAAAAUGGUGCACACAGGAAAUUUGCACACAGUGAGGUGAAGGUAACAGUCUGGGUCUUAGGUGUCAUUAUGAUCUUUAAAGUUCCUACAUAAGGAUGUAACAUUUUUCUAUAAUUAUGCAUUUAUUCUUCAGGGUAAUCACAAUAAUUGGCAAAAAGCAUGUAAUAACCUUUUUAAGAACAUUGGUAAUUAAUCUCAAGAUUGCUAUAAAAAUCACUGUAAUCAUUUAACUUUAGAGUAGACAGAUUGGAGUUUUCCUUAAAACCACUCAGCAACUCACAGAAGGAUGACCUUUCAUCAUUUCUUUUACAUAAGAAUUCUCCCACUGCUGAUCCUUCUCUAUUGAGGAGGAUUAGUACUCCAUCUAGGUCAUCCACCAACUUUCAAAAAAAAGGAGAGAUGUAAAUAAAGAAUUAGUACCAGUUAGUAUAGCAAUGCUAAGGUGAUAGCAUUGGCAUUCCUUAAGUAUCACAGUUAAAAACAUUUCUUCCUUAAAAGGGAUUGAAUAUGUUAUGUCAUAAUAUAUCUUAAGCCAUAAUCAUGUUUAUUCAUCAACUAAACACCCAUUUAUAUAUUGGUAACAUAAUUUACCUUUAACUGUCACAAAAAUGUAAAUCAUUUUUGUUCUUCAAAUAUAAUAUGGGGGCAUAAAUCAGAAAUGCUGUCAAUACAAACAGUAGAUACUAGUAAUUUCCCAGAAUUGCAAAAGUAACUUUUGAUUUUAUGAGAAUUACUUGUUAGACUGCAAAAAGACGGCAUAUAAUCUACAUUAUGAGAAAAUAUAUAAAAAAAUGUAAGUAUUAUGAAUUACGCCAUUCAGUGAGUUAAAUAAAACCACGCCAAAAUACCUGAAGGUCUUUUGGUGAAAACUUGACAUCUAGCUAACUAACAGACGAUGAAUCACCUUGUCUCAACCACCUGCAAUAUUGAACAACAACAAAAAAAUAAGUAAAAAUUGUGUUUCUAUUCUUUUAUUUCCCUUAAUACGCAUCAAUAAACGUAGUAGUAAAUGAAUCGUUUAAAGCUGGAGAACGCUAAUGGGAAAUUUCAUGCUGGUGGUCAAGUUCCCUAAGUAGGGGGUUUAUUACAAGUAGAGACAAGAAGAACACCGUUUUAGUACAUUCUGGAGACUGUAAAUUUCCAGUACCAAGGAGUCACAGAAUCAGGAAAUGGAAGAAAAAAGGAACCUAGAUACUUAGUCCAUUAGAGACAGAGCUUGCUAGACAGAAACGUAUUGGAGCCAUGGUCAUUGGCAAUGCUGCGUAUCACAAGUGGCAACUGAGUACAAAGUGAGAGGAGCCCAGGCCAGGCUGGGGACACUUGCACUUUGUAUACCAACGAUCACCACGCUGUGAUCUCCUUCACCUCAUCCAAAGAUGAGCAUGUUACAAAAAAUAAUUUAAAAACAAGGAUGCACCAGAAAAAUUAUAGCGAGCCAAGCAACAAGAAAAAAUUUCAUGAAGAAUUAAAGAUAUUAUCUCUAAAAAUAAGUACUACCUCAGUCAGUCCAAAACAAACACAAAAGCUAUGGAAAUACCAUUUUGAAUUAUAUACAGAAUGCAAUAAGGAUAUUCUACAUGGUUUUCAUAAAAACAGCAAUGCUAUUAUGCAUUUGAUUGUGAAUACAAUAUUUGGAAUAUAAAGAUAUAAUUUGAUUUUUAUAUAUUUAAUUAAGUGUAUCAUUUAACUACAAGUCCUACAGGCAUAAAAGUUUUUAGGGGAAAAAAACCAAGUAAAGGUAAACACACAGCUUGACUAUUGUGGUGGAACUGCCCAGAUAUGCUGGAGAGUAGGCUAUAAGUCAUGAGUUAUCGGUGUGUUGUGGGCAUUAGUCAACAUGUUUUGUAGAGGAAAUGGAGAAUGUCAUUUAAUCUGAUUAGCCGUUUAGAAGGAGACUAGUUAAAAGAGCCUGUCUCUUUCACAUGCACACAUAUGUAUUUGUUUAAAUAUAUACAUAUAUUUAUAUCUAUGUGGUAUUUUGGCUUAUAUGGUGGGAUAAGAAGUGAGGAUGAGAAGAGAGGAAAGGCACCAGGAGUGGUCUUCCGUGACCAGGACUGUGGUGAAAUCUGCUCAUGGAGACUUCACACCUCUAGUUCCCUGACAUGACUGAUACAUUAAAUAUUGGACCACUUACAACUUCUCCCUCAGUCUCUGAACUAUUAUUCUCACUAGUGUCUUUCUUCUGCCAUCUUUUCACCCCUCCAGGAAACCCUUUCAUAAUAGGAAGGAUGUAAGCAAACUCCCCAAAGGCUUAUAGAGCCCCUAGCCUACAUAUGGUCCAACUUAAUGCCAGUGCACUAAUACCUAUCUACAGCUUUUAAAUGAUAUGUGGCCCCAGAAGUGACACAUGUUUUGUUCACAUAGCUGAGGAAAAAUUUGCAUAACCUAUUCAUCUUGGGAAUCACUGAGUUACAUAUAAGCUUCUUUUCAAAGCACAUAUCAUAUUUAAUCGCUUUAGACUAUUUUUCCUACUACAAAUUACGUAAGGCAUCACUAAGAUAUUCCAAGUUGCAAUACAUCUUAGUAACUAGGAUAAAUUGAAAAUCACAGCAUCCUUAAACUGGGUAAAAUUUUUCAAAAUUUGAUACUAGUAUAUAGGAGUUAAAUGUAAACCAAAAGUUUCUUUAAUUGAGGGCAAAAAAUAAAGCAAAAUAAAAUAACUGAAAUAAGAACAGUUCCUUAUGUCUUUCUUACAUACAUAAUGUAGAGUACUUAUAAGAAACCAAUACUUAAGACUGACAUAAGGAUGAUGUUAGGUUACAUUUUCGUUUGUUUAAUGGUUAUGGGUGAACUCUAUCAACAAAAAGCAUCAAGUUGAUAUAUCUGUUCUAGUACUAAAACUAUGAUCUUACAUUUCAACAAUGGAUCACCACCAAGUUCUUCUACUUCAGUGACACAUAUUUACCUUCUCUCAGGUUCUGCAGAUAGUGUUUGCUACACAAGCGGCCCUGAUCCUUCAUUGCGAGCUCCAGCUCUCUGCAAUCCCAUUAUCUAAACAGUUGUUUUUUUACUAUUAUUAUUCCCUCAUUCUGUACCCCAAGCACCCUCCUGCUUAGAUCUUCAAUGUUUACAUAUCUUUUAUAUCUAGCAUCCUCAUAAAAUACCGAAUUUGCUGCCACAAGAAUUAUGCAAUAUAUUUAUCUAAAUUAAGUGCAUCUGCUUUGGGACAGUAUCAAUCUGAUUUAUUAAGUUCUGCUUUAAAAGUUUAUAGUAACUUUUGCUUUUUUAUUAGAAUUGUAAGAUAUCAUGUGACAAAUCAAGGUAAUAAAUUGGAAGCCUAUUUCUCUUACCUGUGUAAAAGAACAGCGGGUACUGUGUUCUGGAGGCAUACAUUUCAUGGCUCCGACACUGGCAGCUCUUUGAACCUGACCUGCUGACCCCCACAUGUGCUGAGACUUAGUAAAGGCAACACGGCAGGCGGGGAGCUUCUCUCUCGCAUUCAUCCGGGCCUGUGCAAGUCCACCCUCUGUCUGCUAACCUACUUCAGUUGCAGAAUCCUGACACUCUGCUCCAGAUUUUGACAGUUUCUUGUGUUGCCUUCACUUUGAGCAAGCAUUUCCAAAUUCUUUUUGGCCUAUAAUACUUUAGCUUCUCACUCAGCCCUUGACUCAGCUUUCCUGGACUUCGAACUCUCUCCUCAUUACAAGUUUUAUCUCCAAUUUCAUCCUCAAGUUCUGAUAACCAGAAGUCCACCGGACAGGAUAGACAUGGUAAAGUAUUCAGAAAUGCAGCAAAGUUACUCAGAAUAUGCCUCAAAUAUCUCCUUUUUCUUCCUUUCAAAGCUCUCCCAGAUAGCUGCUACUCUCACACAUGUGCGCGCGCGCACACACACACACACACACACACACACAUUUGGUUAACAUUUCAAUACUGUCUUUUAUACACUCUGCUACUCUGCCUUCUGGUUUAUUUGUAGUAUAUGUUUGUGAAUGGAGGUGGGAGGGCUGCCGCGUGAGAUUGUGAGUUCCAGUAGGAUAGAGACUUCUUCAUCUUUGCUCCCUUUACAGCAUUAUGUGCCUGUGUAUUACUAUACAUGAGUGGAAUUAAGUUGAGGAAAAAGUCUGCCCUUUUAUGGAGAUGGCAGAGUCUGGGUUUUCACAGGAUAUACCUCACCACCAAGUAGAGCGUAAAAUGUGAGGAAGACAGCUGAAUGAACAAAGGAUUCCAAUACCCAAACGCACAUUCUCAUGGACUCAAACAUACAUUCCUGGUAUGCAAUCUGGUAUUCAAACCCUGGGACAAGAUCUACUCGUGUAUUUCUCCUAAUUCUGUGCACUGAACAAUCUCUGCCUCACUGAGAGUUGGGAAUUUUCACUGCUGCCACCAUUCUUCAAAGAACAAAAGAACAUAAUCCAGAAACUGUUGCCACAUGACCCUCUUUCCAGUUCACUACUCUUUAGCCUGGUAUUGGAUGAUGCCACAUGCACUACAUCUGUCAUGGCCAGUCCCUACUGGAAACACUUAACUUUAUAUAAGGGAUUCAGGAGUGAAUUAAAUCAUGGUAACUGCUGUGUAUGUCUGCAUGUCUGUAGGCAUUCUGGUAAUUGUAUUUGCAAGUGCCCAGGAGAGUUUCUUAACAUCCUUCUUGUAAGAGCAUGAAACAUCUCUUGGAAAACCCAUCCCUAAUAUUCCUGGAGCACAAUAAACCUCUGUGUUUCAUUCACCCCCACUGUAGGGGCACAAGUGUAAUCCAGGCCAGGUAAAUUGGAGCCCUUCUCAUAAUUUUUAAACUGAAAAUGGAAGGAAGAAUUCCCAUCUUCUUGGAUCUUAAGGGUAAGUAUAUAGGGCUCUCAUUGGUCAUUUCUCACAAUGCAGAGAAGCUUUAUGUAGAAAAGGAAAUCCAGUAAAAUCUAGCAGAGGUAAGAGGUAAGGUCCUGCUGGUACUGAAUCCCAGUGUCAGUGUCUGGGACCUUGAUUCUAAGAUUUUUGCCUUCGGUUUUGUGAGUUGCUCCAGUGUUUUUCCCAGCUGCUGAGAAAAAGCAUUUCAUUUUGUUUUUGGUUUUCCCUCAGGUGAUUUGAGUUGUGAUUCUUAGCACUUGCACCUGAAGACAAACUACAACUCCUGUGACAGCUGGCUGGUAAUCUCCGAGUUCACAAUGUUUGCAGUCUGCUUUAAUUUUGAAAAGGAACGAUAGGAAAAUACUGAACUUCUUUAAGCAGGAGUGUGUUGGGGGCACUGAGCCAGCAUUGAUAUGAGAUGUCGAACUGGGGCUGAUAUACUCCUAAUAUAUGAGAAGGCAUUUCAAUAGGUAUUUAUUUAUUUAAUAUUUUUGCGUCCUAUUUUCAUAGUUGGGAUUUGCCUAAAUUUUUCCUUCAUUGAUUUAUCUUUGUCUGGUUUUUGUGUCAUGAAAAGUCACCCAAUAAAACGAUUUAAAACAUUUUCUGCCUUUUCCUUUGCUCUAAAAUAGUUUGUAUAACAUAGACAUUACCAUUCCUUUGAAGUUUAAAGUCUUGAAUACACAGAGGCUUAAUUAAUUAGUGUUGUCUUAUGUAGAAAGCUCUUGGGUGGCUAUGUGUAAAUUUAUCACCAUCCACACCUUCUGCCUUCUCAAUCCUGGAAGAGUUUAUAGAAAGAGAAUGGUCCAUGGCACUAUUACUUGUUUGAUUACGUGUGCUUUGAAAUUUUUCUAUUUACUUAUACAUUUUAUGCAGUUCUUAGG